This 1372-nucleotide ribosomal RNA is filed under the name uncultured bacterium. Its description in RNAcentral is "bacterial SSU rRNA". It matches the Rfam family "Bacterial small subunit ribosomal RNA", at positions 28 to 1381 of the family's 1533-position model. The record is from RNAcentral.
GAUGAACGCUGGCGGCGUGCCUAAUACAUGCAAGUCGAGCGAACGGACGAGAAGCUUGCUUCUCUGAUGUUAGCGGCGGACGGGUGAGUAACACGUGGAUAACCUACCUAUAAGACUGGGAUAACUUCGGGAAACCGGAGCUAAUACCGGAUAAUAUUUUGAACCGCAUGGUUCAAAAGUGAAAGACGGUCUUGCUGUCACUUAUAGAUGGAUCCGCGCUGCAUUAGCUAGUUGGUAAGGUAACGGCUUACCAAGGCAACGAUGCAUAGCCGACCUGAGAGGGUGAUCGGCCACACUGGAACUGAGACACGGUCCAGACUCCUACGGGAGGCAGCAGUAGGGAAUCUUCCGCAAUGGGCGAAAGCCUGACGGAGCAACGCCGCGUGAGUGAUGAAGGUCUUCGGAUCGUAAAACUCUGUUAUUAGGGAAGAACAUAUGUGUAAGUAACUGUGCACAUCUUGACGGUACCUAAUCAGAAAGCCACGGCUAACUACGUGCCAGCAGCCGCGGUAAUACGUAGGUGGCAAGCGUUAUCCGGAAUUUAUGGGCGUAAAGCGCGCGUAGGCGGUUUUUUAAGUCUGAUGUGAAAGCCCACGGCUCAACCGUGGAGGGUCAUUGGAAACUGGAAAACUUGAGUGCAGAAGAGGAAAGUGGAAUUCCAUGUGUAGCGGUGAAAUGCGCAGAGAUAUGGAGGAACACCAGUGGCGAAGGCGACUUUCUGGUCUGUAACUGACGCUGAUGUGCGAAAGCGUGGGGACCAAACAGGAUUAGAUACCCUGGUAGUCCACGCCGUAAACGAUGAGUGCUAAGUGUUAGGGGGUUUCCGCCCCUUAGUGCUGCAGCUAACGCAUUAAGCACUCCGCCUGGGGAGUACGACCGCAAGGUUGAAACUCAAAGGAAUUGACGGGGACCCGCACAAGCGGUGGAGCAUGUGGUUUAAUUCGAAGCAACGCGAAGAACCUUACCAAAUCUUGACAUCCUUUGACAACUCUAGAGAUAGAGCUUUCCCCUUCGGGGGACAAAGUGACAGGUGGUGUAUGGUUGUCGUCAGCUCGUGUCGUGAGAUGUUGGGUUAAGUCCCGCAACGAGCGCAACCCUUAAGCUUAGUUGCCAUCAUUAAGUUGGGCACUCUAAGUUGACUGCCGGUGACAAACCGGAGGAAGGUGGGGAUGACGUCAAAUCAUCAUGCCCCUUAUGAUUUGGGCUACACACGUGCUACAAUGGACAAUACAAAGGGCAGCGAAACCGCGAGGUCAAGCAAAUCCCAUAAAGUUGUUCUCAGUUCGGAUUGUAGUCUGCAACUCGACUACAUGAAGCUGGAAUCGCUAGUAAUCGUAGAUCAGCAUGCUACGGUGAAUACGUUCCCGGGUCU